Long non-coding RNA from Homo sapiens (human), 2289 nucleotides. RefSeq lists it as uncharacterized. The record is from RefSeq and is a predicted model, not a curated record. The transcript is spliced from 3 exons. NCBI's taxonomy places the organism in Eukaryota, Metazoa, Chordata, Mammalia, Primates, Hominidae.
UGCGGUCCUGGCUCUUGUGUAAGAAUUCUGACUGCACUAACCAUGCCUAGGAAGGAAAGGAGUUGUUGUUUUGUAAAGGAUUGAGGUUUGGAAGAUUAAUCGGACACGGUCAGCAGGGAGAGCACUUGUGUUUUUAUGAGAAUUAUGCCGAGAUAGGUAACAGAUGAGGAUGAAAUUUGGGCUUGACUGAAGUAAUGGGGGCUGUCUGUGAAGCCCUGUGGCAGUACAGCCCAGGGCUUCCAAGGCGAUCGGGCAGCGUCAGUCUUCAGCCGCUAAGCUGAGAAGAUCUGGGAAGGAGUCAGAGAGCCUUGGGCCAGAGUUCCAGGGGCUUUGGAAGUGGCUACCAGCAGCCCCUGGAUCUCACCUCAACUUCUGCCCACAGCAGCCACAGCAUCACUACCUGAUCCUCUUCAGGAGGAGUGGUCUGUGUGAAGAGGAGAGUGACAGGAAAGGGGGACAAGUCUCCAGGGACUCAGGGACUACUUAGUAGAAAGUGUCCUUAUAGGUGGUUUCCUAGACUUACAUCUGACCUCCACCAUUGAUUUGGUCGCCAUCCACAGAAAAGGGCAAAGGGACAAAAUAGAAAUCGAAAUCCAGCGAGCGAAAUGUGAUGAUGAGGGCCUCAUCACCUUUGGCACACCGUACUGGCUCUGCUAUACUUGAUACUGUCCAUUUUCCAAUAUAAUUGGGGAAAAAAUAUGGUGAUCAGAUGCCCGUCACCCACACCAAUCUCCCUGCUGUGGGCUGAGUUGUGUCUCCCCAACAUUCACACAUUGAUCUAACCCCUGGGACCUCAGAAUGUGAAUGUAUUUGGAGAUAGAGUUCAGUCACCUUUAUAGAGGUGAUUGAGCUAAAAUGAAGUCAUUUGGGUGACCCCUAAUCCCAUAUGACUGGUUCCCUUAAAAGAAAAGGAGAUGAGGACACAGACACACACAGAGGGAAGACCACGUGAGGACACAGGGAGAUGACGGCUGUCUGCAAGACAUCGAUUUCCAGCCUCCAGCACUGUGAGAAAAUAGAUUUCUGUUGUUCACACCACUCAGUCUGUGGCACUUUGUUAGGGCAGUCCUGGCAAACUAAUACACUCCCCUUAAGUCAAACUUGGAUAUACCUAACAUUUGUAAAGAACGGUUACUUCAAAAAAAAAAAAAGCUUUUGUAACCAUUUUCUUUUGGAUCCUUCCAACAACUCUGCAAGAUAUCACAAUGGUUAUUUUGCAAAUGGAGGAACUGAGGCUUAAGAAAGUAAAGGAAUUUACUUCUUGUGCAGCAAUAAUGGGCAGAGCUGCGGGACUGGAGCUGCCCUUGCCCUCUGCUCUCCUAGCAAUUUUCUUUUAUGAGCAAACCUACACGGUGUAAACCUCCUGGGCAACUGUUCUUUUCUGCACACUUCACUAUAUGAACGUGGAACAUUUAUAGAGAUAGCCUGUAAGAGCUGAAUUCCUGCUGCCUCUAACUCCAGACACUUUCGCCUGAAUGUGUACUUCUCACUACUGAUAAACCCGUGACUCAGCUGGAAAUCCUCGUGGUGAAGGAACUGAACACAGAAAACACACAUUCGUAAAGACCAGGUGUGGAAGUCUCCAGCCCUGUUUGCACCGCAGCAGACAGGGACACCACAGCCACACGGUACUUGGAAACCCGAGCUUGAGAUGAUUGAUGGAAGUGUUAAAAUGCCAGAGCAUUUGGGGAAUGUGGUAUGGGCAGUCCCAGAAGAAAUGGCCCUGCUCAGAUGCCAUCCUGUGGGGUGCGGCUUAAUGGGGCCACUCACUCAUCUGGGAUGUGAAACUUUGAAGACAAAUACCUGUUUACUUCAUUCGCCCCAGAUUUUAUACAUGCUUUUUAAAAAACAACUUUAUUCAUGUAUAGCUAGGAUAAAAUGAACAGCACAUAUUUAAAGUGCCCAAUUUGAUGAAUUUUGAUAUUGGUGUACAUGUGUGAAACUGUCAUCACAAUCAAAAUAACAAACGCCUCCAUCAUUUCCAAGUUUCCCCAUGUCCUUUGUAAGCCCACCUUGCUCCCCCUUCCCCCACACAAGCCCAACCUCCCAUCCCUUCCCAGCAAUCAUUGAUACGUUUUCUGUCUCUAUGGCUUAGUUUGCAUUUUCUAGAAUUUUAUAUAAAUGAAAUCAUACAGUAUGUGUUAUUUUUGUCUGGCUUUUUUUUCCAUUUAGCAUAAUUACUUUGAAAUCUGCCCAUACUGUUGUCUGUAUCAAUAGUGUAUUCCUUUCAUCUCUGAGUGUCAUUCCAUUUUGUGGAAAUGCCAUAAUUUGCUUAUUCAUUUGCCUGUU